AUCAGUUUCAAGACUAAUCAUAUUUAUAAAGUGAUAUUUACAGUACUGUCCAUAAAACCCUCAAAAUGGUCAUAAAAUAAUAAAACAAAAAACAAACAAAAAUCUCCCAAAGAGAUUUAAUUCCAAUACAUUUACUAUGUGUCUGUUCAUCAUGAUGUAAAUGUUCACAAAAUGUAAAGGACUGAUUUUGUGUUUAAAUAAGAAAUAAAAAAGGGGGUUGGGGUUUGCAUAGUGCACAUAUGUAAGAUUAAAUAUAUAUAAUUAUCUUAACUUGAGUUGAUAUAAGUUGAUUUUAGCUGAGCUGAGUUGAUAUGAGCUAAGUUCAUUUGAGCUCAUAUAAACUGAUUUGUGCUGAGCUGAUAUGAGUUGAGUUUAGAGAAGUUGAGCUGAUGUGAGCUGGGUCGAGUUGAGCUGAGCUGUGUUCAUUUCAGUUGAGCUGAGUUAAUAUGCGCUAAUUUAUUUUUUAUUUGAGCUAAUAUAAACUGAUUUGUAUUGAGCUGAUAUGAGUUGAGUUUAGAGGAGUUGAGUCGUGUUCUGCUGUGUUGAGUUAAGUUGAUAUGAGCUGUGUUGAUUUUAGUUGAGAGGACAUGAGACAAGUUAAUUUGAUUUGAGCUCAUAUAAACUAAUUUGUGUUGAGCUGAUAUGAGUUGAGUUUAAAGGAGUUGAAUGGUUUUCUGCAGUGUUUAGUGAAGCUGAUUUGAGCUCUGUUGAUUUCAGUUGAGUUAAGCUGAGAAGUGUUAUUUGAGUUGAGUGGAUAUAAGACAAGUUAAUUUGAUUUGAGCUCAUAAAAUCUACUUUGUGUUGAGCUGAUAUGAGUUGAGUUUAGAGGAGUUGAGUCGUGUUCUACUGUGUUUAGUGAAGCUGAUUCGAGCUGUAUUGAUUUCACUUGAGUUUGUAAAUCUGACUUUAGUUGAGUGGAUAUGAGUUAAGUUAAUGUGGUUUGAGCUUAUUUGUGCUCAACUGAUUUGUGCUGAGCUCACAUAAGUUGUGUUGAGUUGAGCGGAGCUGUGCUUAUUUUAAUUGAGUUAAAGUUGUUAUAAUCUAAGUUAAUUUGAGUUGAGCUCAUAUAAACUGAUUUGUGUUUAGCUGAUAUGAGUUGAGUUUAGAGGAGUUGAGUUGUGCUCAGCGAAGCUGAUAUGAGCUGGGUUGAGUUGAGCUGAUUUUCGCUGAGUUGAUUUGAGGUGUGUUGGGAUGAGUUGAGCUGUACUGAAAAAAAAAUAGGUUUGCUGAGUCAAGAUUUUCAGGUGAGGUGAGAUGAAAUGAGUUAAGUUGAACUAAUAUGAGCUAAGCUGAAUUUGAUAUUUGAGUUGACAUGAGCUUUGUUCAGUGUAACUAAAAUUUGGGUUGCAUUUACCAUAUAAAGAAAAGGCUUAAUCUUCACUUAAUGAGUGUUUGCUAUGGUAAACCAAAAAACAUGAUCAGUAUUUAUGCAUGUGUAAAUGUAUUUUUAUGUCAGUUAAUUUAAAAUGUUUAAUUUUUCAAACUAAAUAAAAGAACAGCAACCAUGCUUUGUCUGAUUAACAUCAUUUCAGAUCAUGGGAAUUGGAGAACUACUGCUUCAGUGUGUAAAGCUUUACAGAUGGUGUGGAUUCUAAGUGGCCACUGAAAGAUUUUGAAUAAUGCAGUAUAUGCAUUUUAAUAAAGAGGCAGAACAUACGGUUAGAUAUGAUGACAUGAGAAGAGCCAGAGCGGUAGGAAGAGUGUGUGUGUGUGUUUGUGUUUUACACCAAAGCUGCAGGAGCAGGCCCCUACAUGGAUCCAUGAUUUCACUGGACCCAAACCAGCAGAGAGGAUUAAUGUGGGAGGAGGGAGAGCUGAGAGAGAGAGAGAGAGAGAGAGAGAGAGAAGGUGUAAACCCUUGAACCAUGUCCAGUCUGCAGUCUGCUCUGGAGAGCAGCACAGAGCUGUAUCGCUGUAGAGACUAUCGCUAUGGCAGCUCUCCAAGGGAGUGGCCCUGAUAAUCUGGUUCUGCAGGUUCAAACCAAGUCAACCGAUCACAGAAGCUGUUCAGACUAUUGUCACAUCACACAAGAAGCCAACAGAUGCUUAUACAGCAAAAUAUAGCCUUGAUGUGUCUAAGCCAUAUAUUUCUUUUUUUUUUUUUCCUGUACUUUGUGUUUUUUGUUUUCUUGAGGUCUGUUUAUGAACACUGUGUCUGUUUUUACUGUUUUGAGGUGUACCAAAAACUCUCAUAAAUCUUUCUACAUGCCCAUUUCCCAACCUCCCAAUCUCUUCAGGCCUUAUAAUUAAACUGUUUUUUCUUUCUGGAACUUUAAAGCAAAACUCAUAUAUAUGUAAAUGACAUAUGUUCUGAUUGGUUGCCCCAUAUUGUGCCAGACCAGACUAACACAAUCAUGACAAAACAAAACUAUGAAUAAGAGGCAGCUCUAGACACUAUAUGGCCAAAUGUUUGGGUACAACCCUUCUAAUGAAGGUUUAAUUUAACUACUUUGAUUAAAGUAAAAAAAAGUCCCUGUAAAGAUGUAUUUCCAAAAGAAUAGGGCUCCAAGUUGUCCUACUCUGUAAAAUUACUAGACAUUUUUAAAAAAAUUACUGUUGUACUGUUACAGUUACAGAAAAUCUGUUAAUCUGUUUUUUAUAUAUAUAUAUAAAAUGACAUGAACCAUUGUGAUACACAAAGAAAUAUUGUCAUUUUAAUAUGGUUUCCCUAAAAAAAAGCACAUUUUUAGGAAUGAUGGCGCUCCAUUCAGUACUUUUGAGUACUUUUGAGUCGGGGAUGAGGUUGAGUAGUGAUCAUCCAACAUCCUGACUACCUCUCAACCACUCUGACUUGCACAAACAUUGGUAAAUGCAGUCAGUUUCUGUCUCAAUGCUUUUGUUGAUAAAGUGUAUAUGGAAAAAGUGUUGUGACAAAAUACACAAGGAUUGUUUUAAGGAUUGUUUUUAAAAAAUGAUUCUUUUUUUUUUUUUUUUUUCAAUUUACUUGCUAUAGAUGGACUUAACAGGUGUCUGCUUGUGUUUUGUCUGUGAACUCCGGACUUCUCAUGCAGUCCAAAACAACUGGAUUGGAUAUUCUGGAUAAAUUGGAUAAUUUAAAUUGUCCCAGUGUUUGAGAAUGUACGUAUUUACAUUUACAUUAAGCUCAUAUAUGGAUUGGCACUCUGUACUGGGCCACGUCCUUCAGGUGCAAUCCUCCAGGCGGGCGGUUGUUUCCGGUUGAGAGUAUGCUGUGCACAAUCGGCAGUGGAAAUUAAUUUAUUCCUUCUACAGACUUUUUAACUUACACAGCAAAUGUACUGUUAGGAAACAUUGUUAGUGUUUACUUAGCUCUCCUAGAUUUAGUGUUAAUGUAGCACUAACAAAUUUACUAUGUUGUAAAACUGUGUUAACACACUAAAUCAAUCUCAUUAAUAAAAAUAAAUAAAAGAAA
Astyanax mexicanus (Mexican tetra) is the source of this 3391-nucleotide long non-coding RNA. RefSeq lists it as uncharacterized. The transcript is spliced from 3 exons. The record is from RefSeq and is a predicted model, not a curated record. NCBI's taxonomy places the organism in Eukaryota, Metazoa, Chordata, Actinopteri, Characiformes, Acestrorhamphidae.